AUACGUAGGUGACAAGCGUUAUCCGGAUUUACUGGGCGUAAAGGGCGUGUAGGCGGUCUUGCAAGUCAGAAGUGAAAUUCCUGAGCUCAACUCGGGCGCUGCUUCUGAAACUGCAGGACUUGAGUGCUGGAGGGGAUAGCGGAAUUCCUAGUGGAGCGGUAAAAUGCGCAGAUAUUAGGAAGAACACCGGUGGCGAAGGCGGCUAUCUGGACAGUAACGGACGCUGAGGCGCGAAAGCGUGGGGAGCAAACAGGAUUAGAUCCCCUGGUAGUCCACGCCGUAAACGAUGAAUACUAGGUGUAGGGGGUAUCGACUCCCUCUGUGCCGCAGUUAACACAAUAAGUAUUCCGCCUGGGGAGUACGGCCGCAAGGUUGAAACUCAAAUGAAUUGGCGGGG
This 397-nucleotide ribosomal RNA is filed under the name uncultured bacterium. RNAcentral's name for it is "partial 16S ribosomal RNA". It matches the Rfam family "Bacterial small subunit ribosomal RNA", at positions 523 to 918 of the family's 1533-position model. The record is from RNAcentral.